Long non-coding RNA from Spea bombifrons (plains spadefoot toad), 611 nucleotides. RefSeq lists it as uncharacterized. The transcript has 6 exons. Lineage: Eukaryota; Metazoa; Chordata; Amphibia; Anura; Pelobatidae. The record is from RefSeq and is a predicted model, not a curated record.
CAGAGAUGAAAUGGGAGGCCGAGGUGCCAUCAGUUUCAGCAUCUUGUUCUCUGACAGCAAAGCAAUUGUCUUCACCGCUCACAAUUGUUUUGUGUUCUGAGAGUUGCCUAAAUCAAAAAGGAAAUGUGUGGGGAUCUGAUAUCUACACAGAGGAUUCUUCUGUUUGUCGAGCUGCCAUCCACUCUGGAAAACUAAGUAACAAAGACAGUAGUGUAAUCGUGGAGAAACUGCCAGGACAGAGUAGCUAUGGGGAGUCCACCAAGCAUGGAGUGAAAACAAAGAGCCAGGGGCCACGGGAGGGCUCAUUUGUUCUCCAUUCUGUAUCGGAUUAUCAGUUCUCUACCCACACAGUCCAUGAAUUUGAUUCCAAGAGACCCCAUGCAGGCAAACAACAUGUAUCAAAAUCAUCAAAAGGAUUUUCCCCUCAUCAUUAGUUAAUUACAUUCACUAGAAAACAGAAGAUGCAGAAUAUUCUAUAUCACAACAUCCCAAUAUCACUCUAUAGGAAUGGUCAAGACAUUGGAAUAAUCUGUAUUAUGAAAACAUAUGCUAUGUAGCACGUCUUCAAAUAGUUUCUAAUCAACCAUGUAAAUGCAAAAUAAAAGCAAUUU